This 328-nucleotide long non-coding RNA is filed under the name Chinchilla lanigera (long-tailed chinchilla). RNAcentral's name for it is "lncRNA (ENSCLAG00000023682.1)". Lineage: Eukaryota; Metazoa; Chordata; Mammalia; Rodentia; Chinchillidae. The record is from RNAcentral.
GAAUAUCAGUCCCUGGUGUCCAUCCCUAGGGAGGUGUGUGAGUGCCUUUGUUUUAUCUUUUGUCUUCAAGUCUGGCCCAUAGCGGGAGUGCCUGUCUGUCCCUCAGUUGCAAAGAUUCUUGUUUUCCAUACUGGCUUCUUCCAGGCCUGGCCCUGUGUGACUGCCUAUGCUAUUUCUACCUAACUCAGCUGCCUACAACAUUUUGCCUGAAAUCAGUCAGGUACAAAGACAUUUCUUGGACAGCAUUUCCUGAAAAAAAUAUUUUAAAAGUAAGUUUGAAUCCUGUAUUUUUAAAAAUGCUUUUCUUCACAACUGUAAAGUCAACUGC